CCUUUGAGACUAGCCAUGUGACGGGCUCUCGACCAAUGGGGAUGGGUAAACUGUCUUUGGUAUUUAUGAAUAUUUAUAGUUUGUAUAUCAGUGAAGUGCACUUUUAUGACUUAACACGAACACCAUGUGCAAAUACAGUAGUGCAAUGCAAAAAAAAGUUGACCACAAUAUUUGAAUAGCGCCCUCACUUGACAGAAGAAGUUGACCAAAGAAUUUGAAUAGCGCCCUCAUUUGUCAAGAGAAGGACAUUUCUGCAGCUGUAGCAAGGUGUCAAACUUUCCAAAGUUUCAGAAAAUGUACAUUUGUAUUUUCAAAAGUUAUGCAGUCAUAUUAAUAGUAUUUUUCGGUGCUUGUAAGAAGAACACGGCUGAAUUUAGUGACGUAAAGCAAAUGCAGAACUGAGCAACAGUCGGUUGAUGUUUCCGAACAUUCCUGCCUUUAAUCCCAGAUUACGUCUGGACCACACACAACAGAUAAUUGUCCAUGAAUGUUGAUGAGAGGAAGGAUGCCUCACUGACAGGAUUACAAGGAUUCCCUUCUGAGGAACGCAGAGAUACAUGCUUACUUCAAAAAUAUAGGUGCAUCACAUUCCUGGUCAUGACCCCUUGGUGCAAGUCUGGUGAACAAUUUCUGAUAGUUCCAGCAUGUUUAAAAAAUGAUUACCACAUGAUCAACUGCAUCCACAGGGUCAGUUCAUCACCAGAAAAACACUCUAGUUACAAAUCCUUUGGAAAUUUCAUUCAUCAUUGGCCCCCAUCAUAAUCUUCAUCACCUUGCAUCACCCGCUGCGGCCAAGCUGAUGAGAAAACAUUAAAUCCCAGCCACAGAACUCCCUUCCCACCACCAAAGCGUGCAAAGAACAAACCGACGAGAGAAUAAUCCGUUCCUGGCCGCGUGAUGUUUCCCUGAGCAGAAACGCAUAUCCCGUGCAGUAAGAUUUGUCUUCCUUUGGGAGGCAUCUUUCUCCCUCCAUAAAUGACAAGAGGACACGCCCCUUCAGAGGUCCCUCAUCUCAAAGAAUUGGACUCAUCAUCAGUUUCAUCACCAGAUGACAAAGCAUAACACAAUGAGACAUCCUCAUCACCCACGACCUUAUAACCAGACACACUAACCCGGACCAGCCCCGCAUGAGAGCC
Patiria miniata (bat star) is the source of this 1136-nucleotide long non-coding RNA. RefSeq lists it as uncharacterized. The transcript has 7 exons. The record is from RefSeq and is a predicted model, not a curated record. NCBI's taxonomy places the organism in Eukaryota, Metazoa, Echinodermata, Asteroidea, Valvatida, Asterinidae.